GGAAAAGUGAUCUAAAGUUAUCUCCGGUAGCUCAUGAUGUUGUAUUUUGCCUCUGAGGAGAGUUUUUAGUUUAAAAUGAAAUGCUGUUUAAAAUCAGGAUUGCAGAGCUGCUGUUCCAUCAAUUGCCUGAGAUAUCAGCUAGUAAGGGGACACCCAGAGACUUGCCGCGUGGUGUAGCCUUUACUCCUAGAGUCUGCUGGGGCCAAGCGUAUGAUUCAUGUGAGCAAGAGAGUGAACAGACCUUAGGAGAGAAGUUAACAGUUGCCACAGGAUCCCUAGGGAGUGAGGAAGGCUUAGGGAGGAGGUGAAGGAACCAUCUCCGUCCACAGAACAGCAAGUCAGAGGUCCCCAGGGAUGAGAAGAAUCCAGCAAAUGGUCUAGCCCGCCAACAGACAGGCAAAGCCCUGCAACUCUGAAAUAAGAACUGGGCUGUGACACUGCUUCCUCUCUCUCCCUACACUCCAAACCCAGGAGGACUAUCUGAGAAGAAAAAGGAGAAAUUCUGCUCUGGAACCCCAGAAGAAGAAUGUGGAAAUAUCACUUGGAGAGAACUGCCAAGGAAGUUCACUCACAGAUUCCUGCAUCCUCUGGCACAGUGCUGCAUGACUUUGAGCUGACCUUGAAAUUUAUGGUCUGGCACAAAUAGUCAUUAAACUGGGAACAGCUUGUGCAAUGCCUUGAUAACAAAUGGUACCCAGCAAUGUGUUAGCCGUGGA
RNAcentral lists this long non-coding RNA (716 nucleotides) under Homo sapiens (human). RNAcentral's name for it is "HSALNT0347080". Lineage: Eukaryota; Metazoa; Chordata; Mammalia; Primates; Hominidae. The record is from RNAcentral.